UGACAAACACCAUACAUUGUCUGAAGAAGC
Molecule: non-coding RNA, 30 nt
Filed under: Homo sapiens (human)
Lineage: Eukaryota; Metazoa; Chordata; Mammalia; Primates; Hominidae
Source: RNAcentral